Molecule: non-coding RNA, 3672 nt
Organism: Oryctolagus cuniculus (rabbit)
Lineage: Eukaryota; Metazoa; Chordata; Mammalia; Lagomorpha; Leporidae
Source: RefSeq, a predicted model, not a curated record
GGGCGGGGGCGGGGGCGGGGCUCUGCGCCUCUGUCCGGGCCAGACCCGCCGCCUCACCCCCUUUCUGAUUUCUGCCAACUCAAAGGUGGUCCUGAAAGUUUCCAAGGCUGAUCCAAGUUGCUCCUAAUUGUUCCCGGCUGCGGCUGCGAGUGCUUCCUUCCACGUUAGAACCAAAACGAUGCCUUGGUUCUGCAGCAACUUUAAGCAUAUCUUUGCCUCGUCUCGUUGAAUUGUUUAAUUUCAGAAAAUACGAAAACCCGGAGGGUCCCAAUGUGCCUGCAGACAGCAGUCCUCAAAGGUUGCCCAGCUCCCCGGAGAAUCAGUUUCUAAAGCUAAGAUUCAAGGUGAAAAUAUUUGUAGGGGGAAAGUAAUGUUAAGACGGAGAUAAGGGGCCGGUGCUGUGGCCUAGCAGGUUAAAGCCCUGGCCUGUGGCGCCAGCAUCCCAUAUGGGCGCCGGUUCUGUCCUGGUUGCUCCUCUUCCAGGCCAGCUCUCUGCUGUGGCCUGGGAAGGCAGUGGAGGAUGGCCCCAAGUCCUUGGGCCCUGCACUCGCAUGGGAGACCAGGAGGAAGCACCUGGCUCCUGGCUUCGGAUCCCCGUUGUGGCCACCUGGGGAGUGAACCAGCAGAUGAAAGACCUCUCUCUCUCUCUCUACCUCUCUCUGUAACUCUUUCAAAAAAGAUAAAAUAAAUCUUAAAAAAAAAAAAAAAAAAGGAGGUAAAUGCAUAUUGUGUUGCCUUGGUGGUGAUUAGGGAAGAGGUUUUUCCCUGCCCUCUUUCUUCCUUUGAGGUUACUUUCCAAAGUAGCUUUUAUACCUUCACAGUGUCUUCUCUGUGUGAGCCCAUUUUCCCGUACGAUAACAACAUACCCAAGCUCGGGCAUUCUCUACAGAAAGGAGGUUUAUUCGGCUCCAAGUCUGGGAGGUUGCAGGUCCAAGAUCAGUUGCUCUCACUGAUCCACCCUUCAGUGAUGGCCUCACAGCCCUCAACGGUGGCCUCACGGUGGUGGUGGUGGGGUGCGCAGGAGAGGGGGAGACCUCCUGUCAGAUGGGAGCCACAGCACAGGGAGGGGCCAGGCUUGGUCCUUUGACAACAACCCUCUCUGGGGAACUCACUCCGGGUCCCAGGGGAGAGACUUCCAUCCCUACCCAGGGCAGUGCCCCCAAGGACCUCUUGGUAGGCCUCCCCACCACACCACAGCUCACGAAGAGGACCAACACCCAGCACAGGAAGCCUUAGGAGACCAAAUCAAACCAACCCUGAGCAUCCUAUUUCCAAAUAAGGCCAUGCUUAUUUGAGACACCGGGGUUAGGACUUCAUGCCUUUCUGGAGGCCAAAAUGGGUCCAUGUGAAUCACUGUCAACUAAUGAAAUAGUAGCCUUACACCCACACUGAGUAAGGCCAUCCCAACAACUUAGCGGUGGGGAACUUUGGGUGUUGUAGAAGACUCUUAGUAGAUCACAGUGUACCCAGGGAACAAAAGGGAGCUAUGUGUGAUCCCAGUCUAUUGGCAUGAAAGGGAGAUGCCUAUUGCCAUAUGGAAGGCAGUGGAAGGCAGUGGAAACUGGUCACCAGCUGCCUCUAAUCCAGCCUCCUCAGAGUGCCCCAGGCCAGCGACCACACCCAGCACACUGUGCUCUCAGGCCCCGCCCCCAUUGUAAGGACAUCACCUAGACAGCGGUCCUGGCCUUGAAUGUGCCGUGCCUGGGAUUCGUGCUUUUCUCAGCCGAAAUCCCUGGUGUUUAAGCAUAGGACGUGGCUAGUUCCCAGAUGUACUGAUUUCCUAAGGUGACCAUAAAAAUCCGCACAAACUGGAGGUGUGAAACCGCAGGGCUUUGUUUCCUCAGCGUUCUGGCGGGUGGAAGUCUGAAACCCGGGUGUCAGCCCGGCUGCUCCGGACGCCCCAGGAGAUUCUGUUCCGGUGGCACCCAACAGCCCUUGGCUUUCCUCGGCUUACAGAGGCUUCCGUUCCACCCCCUCCCCAUUUAAACCAGCAGCUGCUUCCCAAGACCAUCGUCCCUUAGCAGUAUCCAAAUGCCUGCCCCCCUUUUAAAAUGAUUUAUUUAUUUGAGAGGCAGAGUUAUAGACAGAGAGAGGGAAAGACACAGAGAAAGGUCUUUCAUCUGCUGGUUCUCUCCCCAGUUGGCCACAACAGCCAGAGCUUGGCUGGUCCAAAGCCAGGAGCCAGGAGCCAGCAGCCAGGAGCUUCUUCCAGGUCUUCCAUGUGGGUGCAGGGGCCCAAGCACUUGGGCCAUCUUUGGCUGCUUUCCCAGGCCAUUAGCAGAAAGCUGGAUCAGAAGAGGAGCAGCUAGGACAUGAAAUGCCACCCAUAUGGGAUGCCAGCGCCACAGGCGGAGGCUUAGCCCACCACACCACAAUGCUAGCCCCUCAAAUGUCCUUCUUUGUAAAAGGAUACCCCCCAAUAAUAUCCCAGUAUGGCCUCAUCAUAACUUAAUUACCUCUUCAACAACCCUAUUUCCAAAUAAGGAAAUAUUUUGAGAUACUAGGGUUAGGUUUCAGUAUAUAUGUUGGGGGGUAGGGGGAAUUCAACCCAAAACACCAAGCAGGGAUUUUCUUACUACUUCUCUUUACUGGGCUCUGUGUUUGAAAAUACUCAUGCACAUCCAUUUUCCUAGUUUCUUUUGUUAAAAUUCAUUCAAAUAGGCAUUCAGUUCCGGAACGAGGGGACAUAUAAUCAACUCCUCGCAUCAAGACACAGUCACAUGUCACAAACCACUCUACCAACGACAGACUGUGUACGACAGUGGUCCCACGGGUGCCUAUUGGAAUUGACAACUUCCUGGGAUCCAGAGACAUCAUAGCAUUGUUGCGCAAUGUGCAACCUACGCCUCCUGUGUUUGCAGUGAUGUCCUAUUCUAAAAGGUGGACUCAACAGCAACCUCAGGAGGGCCCAGCUGGAGGCAUCGUCAUCACCAGAGGCGACAGCUCCGUGCUUGCCGUCGGCCCUACAGCGCUUCCAGUGGGACAAGGCGAGAAGUGCAAGACAGAUCCUGGUGAUCCUGACCCUGCACGGGCAGAGGCUGAUGCAUGGGUUUGGGUCUCAGUUUUGAACAAAAAGGUUUUACAAGUUAAAAAAAAAUGAAAAUUAACAGUAAAAAAUCUCAUAGAAUAACCUUAAAAAUUUUUUGUAUAGCUGUACAAUGUGUGUGUGUUUUAAAGUGAACAUUAUUACAAAAGAGUCAAAAAGUUUUUUAAAAAUUAACUGUUUAGAGGCUGGUGCUGUGGCAUAGUAGGCCAAGCCUCCACCUGUGGCACCGGCAUCCCAUAUGGGCACAGGUUCAUGUCCUGGCUGCUCCACUUUUUAAAAAAUACUUUUAUUUAUUUAUUUGACAGGUAGAGUUACAGCAGGUAGAGGAGCAGCCAGGACUAGAACCAGCUCCUAUAAGGGAUGCCAGUGCCACAGGCGAGGCUUAGCCCACUACGCCACAGUGCCAGUCCCUGGCUGCUCUACUUCCAAUCCAGCUCUCUGCUAUGGCCUGGGAAAGCAGGAGAAGAUGGCCCUAGUGCUUGGUCCUCUGCACCCCCGUGGGAGACCCGGAAGAAUCUCCUGGCUCCUGGCUCAGAUCAGCCCAGCUCAUUUGGGGAGUGAGUCAGUGGAUGGAAGACCUCACUCUGUUUCUCCUUCUCUCUCUCUCUCUCUCUCUCUCUCUGUAA